Molecule: unclassified non-coding RNA, 240 nt
Filed under: Hevea brasiliensis (rubber tree)
Lineage: Eukaryota; Viridiplantae; Streptophyta; Magnoliopsida; Malpighiales; Euphorbiaceae
Source: RNAcentral
GAAGUGGUUGGACUACUGGAACCUUACAUGUCCACUUUGUCGAACUCCACUAGUGCCCGAAGAAGACACAGCUUCCUGCUUUUGGUGAGCAUUAUGAAUAUUAUGGUUGAGGAAUCUCAUUCCAUGUACAGCACCAUAGUGUAGAUAAUCUUAAAAGUGCAUCCGCAGGCCGUAGCAUUUGUAUCUUUCAUAUGCAUGAGGAGUUGAAGCGUGAUGAAUGUGGAUGGGUCUCAGACCCCA